RNAcentral lists this transfer RNA (85 nucleotides) under Chitinophagaceae bacterium. Its description in RNAcentral is "tRNA-Gly". It matches the Rfam family "tRNA". Rfam says of the family: Transfer RNA (tRNA) molecules are approximately 80 nucleotides in length. Their secondary structure includes four short double-helical elements and three loops (D, anti-codon, and T loops). Further hydrogen bonds mediate the characteristic L-shaped molecular structure. tRNAs have two regions of fundamental functional importance: the anti-codon, which is responsible for specific mRNA codon recognition, and the 3' end, to which the tRNAs corresponding amino acid is attached (by aminoacyl-tRNA synthetases). tRNAs cope with the degeneracy of the genetic code in two manners: having more than one tRNA (with a specific anti-codon) for a particular amino acid; and 'wobble' base-pairing, i.e. permitting non-standard base-pairing at the 3rd anti-codon position. Lineage: Bacteria; Pseudomonadati; Bacteroidota; Chitinophagia; Chitinophagales; Chitinophagaceae. The record is from RNAcentral.
GCGGGAGUAGCUCAUUUGGUAGAGCGAUAGCCUUCCAAGCUAUAGGUGGUCCCGUACCGUAGGUCGUGAAGCCUUGUCUUCCGCU